GAGCAUGUGACUUCUGAAACCACAGGUUUCAAAGUCUAGAAAGUCAGAUUGUAGCUGUGUACGUAGCCAAUUACCCUGUGUGUUUCAAUUUUCAGUUCCUCUCUGCUGUUUAAUCACUUGCAAUCAUGGUGACAGUGUUUAAGAAGACGAGCUGUGUGAUACAGAGGCACAGAAGACUUCCUUAGUCCUCUGAGUGGGUAAAGUAUUGACCACUGAAGAAGACGUCUGUGGGAAAACAAUCUUGGGUUUUUUGGAAAAGUCAUUAUAGUGUCUUUUCUGUAUCACUUUAUUCCAUAAUUCUGAUUGUGCUCAAAGAAAUAAUGGAGAUUGAAUUUAAAUGUCCUCAGAUGGCAUUUUUAAGGCAUCUGUACAUUUUUUGCUACUUUUUCUGUCCAGCGUUCAUUAUACUUUUCCUGAACUCCAGUCCUUCCAUGGCCUGCUGUUGCUACGCUGGGAAAUGCUUGUGCUGCCGGACAAUUAAGACAAUGUUUAGGAUACUUCUGCCUCCUCUGAUCUGGUGGGUGAUCCUGCUGUGCGAUGGCAGAUACAUAGACUGUUCUUUUUCAGGAAGCGAAGGAAACAAAGAUCAAAAUGCAAACCAAAGCAGUGCAGCAGAAUUACCCAGUGAACCCUACACAAUAUCUCAGAUUGCAGGGAUGGUUGUUCUUUCUCUUGUCAGCUUGCUUUAUGGCGUGUACCACAUGUGCCACUUCUGGUUCUGCUGUAGCAGUGCAGAAGAACAUUGGAAAGAGGACGUGGAGAGUUUAUUAGAGAAAGAAGUAAGGAAACGUAUUGAAGAAAAGAAGAAAGAGGUUGCAGAGCAGAUAAUGGAACAGAAAGUUAAACCUUUUGUCCAGAAAGUUAAUUCUAAUUUCUGGGAAAAUGUAGGUUUCAGAGGCACAGCGAAAAACACAAAGGAAGCUGUUGUGUCUUUCAUUAAAAAUAGAGGGGGGAAACAAUAAGCAGUUAAACAAAGUUGCCUCUCACCUCUGCAACAGAACUGACUUCAGAAACCAGCACUGAGUUCUGAAGAGGUGGCAGCUACUCCUGCCGAAGGGGCCAGAGCAGGUGCCGAUGCAGCAACACCAGGAUGCUGAAUCUGUCCGUCCUGGGCUUGCUGGGGAAAGCACCCACCUUGUUCCCAUCUCAGUCCUCCUGUCCAUGGGAGCAGGUCUGGCAGUUACGGUGUAGUCAGAAGUUGGAUUUAUUGUCCUGUUCUAUAGCUACAGUCAUCGAGCCAACAGGUACCAUCAGAUGGCACUGGUCACCUUAUUAUCCCUCUUCCUAUAUCUUUGCCUUCAUUUUGUUGCUCUUUCACCUCUCCUUUUUCACCCCAGUAUCAGUUUCUGGUCCUAGUUUUGCUAUAUCUGUACCCCAAAGUGGUAGUUCUAAUCCCAUUACCUAGACAAUCUCGGCCACUCAGGCUUUGUCUUUGCAUAAAGUGAGGAAGAAAUAAGCAAAGAAGGAGGAAACAUCUCCAAGCCUUAGAGGGCAGAAGAAACGUGAGUUGGUCCUUCCUGAACAUUGUGCUGGUUUUCCCUGUUCCUGCUUGCAAGGAAUCAAUUAGUCCUUAAUUGCAAUAAACCUUUUUAAGCACAAUUCA
This 1603-nucleotide long non-coding RNA is filed under the name Calidris pugnax (ruff). RNAcentral describes it as "lncRNA (ENSCPUG00000001709.1)". Lineage: Eukaryota; Metazoa; Chordata; Aves; Charadriiformes; Scolopacidae. The record is from RNAcentral.